AUUGAACGCUGGCGGCAGGCCUAACACAUGCAAGUCGAACGGUAACAGGAAUCAGCUUGCUGAUUCGCUGACGAGUGGCGGACGGGUGAGUAAUGUCUGGGAAACUGCCUGAUGGAGGGGGAUAACUACUGGAAACGGUAGCUAAUACCGCAUAACGUCGCAAGACCAAAGAGGGGGACCUUCGGGCCUCUUGCCAUCGGAUGUGCCCAGAUGGGAUUAGCUAGUAGGUGGGGUAAUGGCUCACCUAGGCGACGAUCCCUAGCUGGUCUGGGAGGAUGACCGGCCACACUGGAACUGAGACACGGCCCAGACUCCUACGGGAGGCAGCAGUGGGGAAUAUUGCGCAAUGGGGGGAACCCUGACGCAGCAACGCCGCGUGAGUGAAGAAGGUUUUCGGAUCGUAAAGCUCUGUCAAUAGUGAAGAAGGCUUUGAUCUUAAUAGGAUUAAAGAUGACGGUAGCUAUAGAGGGAGCUCCGGCUAACUACGUGCCAGCCGCCGCGGUAA
RNAcentral lists this ribosomal RNA (505 nucleotides) under uncultured bacterium. RNAcentral describes it as "partial 16S ribosomal RNA". It matches the Rfam family "Bacterial small subunit ribosomal RNA", at positions 30 to 523 of the family's 1533-position model. The record is from RNAcentral.